CCCUUAGACGUUCUGGGCCGCACGCGCGCUACACUAACGAAGGCAACGAGCUUUCCUUUACCGAAAGGUACGGGUAAUCUUUUGAAACUUCGUCGUGCUGGGGAUAGAUCCUUGCAAUUUUUGAUCUUAAACGAGGAAUGCCUAGUAAGCGCAAGUCAUCAACUUGCGUUGAUUACGUCCCUGCCCUUUGUACACACCGCCCGUCGCUACUACCGAUUGAAUGGUUUAGUGAGGCCUUCGGAUCCGCGACUCGUUUGUGGAGAAGUUGGACAAACUCAGUCAUUUAGAGGAAGUAAAAGUCGUAACA
This 307-nucleotide ribosomal RNA is filed under the name uncultured eukaryote. RNAcentral describes it as "partial 18S ribosomal RNA". It matches the Rfam family "Eukaryotic small subunit ribosomal RNA", at positions 1470 to 1796 of the family's 1831-position model. The record is from RNAcentral.